Long non-coding RNA from Mandrillus leucophaeus (drill), 1496 nucleotides. RefSeq lists it as uncharacterized. The transcript is spliced from 3 exons. NCBI's taxonomy places the organism in Eukaryota, Metazoa, Chordata, Mammalia, Primates, Cercopithecidae. The record is from RefSeq and is a predicted model, not a curated record.
GGGGUAUAUAAGAGCUAGAUUACUAGUUAGCAAAUGAGGGGGUAAAUAUUCCAGUGGAUACAAGCUUGGGCUCUUUUCUUGAAGCUUUCUUUCUGUCAGAGGCAUUUGCUGAUAUUGCUGACGUUGAAACAUUAAAAGAAAAUUUGAGAAGCAAUGUGCAUCCUGAAGCUGCAAGUAUUUCUCAUCGUGCUCUCUGUUGCAUUAAACCAUCUGAAAGCUACACCCAUUGAAAGUCAUCAGGUGGAAAAGCGGAAAUGCAACACUGCCACGUGUGCAACGCAGCGCCUGGCAAAUUUUUUAGUUCGUUCCAGCAACAAUUUUGGUACCAUUCUCUCAUCUACCAACGUGGGAUCCAAUACAUAUGGCAAGAGGAAUGCAGUAGAGGUUUUAAAGAGAGAGCCACUGAAUUACUUGCCCCUUUAGAGGACGAUGUAACUCUAUAGUUACUGUUUUAUGUUCUAGAGAUUUCCUGUAUAAUUUAACACUGCCUUUUUCAUUUCCAGUGUGAAUAUAUGGUCUGUGUAUCUGAUGUUUGUUGCCAGGACAUAUACAUUGUCAAAAGAUUGUUUUAUAUACAGUACUAAGGUCCCGUAAUAAAAAUAUGGUAUCUUUUAAAAUGAAAUGUUUUUACUAUAGAUUUUUAUUUUAAAGCAUAAAAAAAUCAUUUUGGGACCUAUAUCUCAGUGGCACAGGUUUAAGAACAAAGGAGAAAACAGUAGUUUGAACCUCAGUAAAUUGUAAACAGCUAAUAAUAAAGUUAUUAUUCUUAACAUUAGAAAAUCAGUAAUUGGGCUGGGCGUGGUGGUUCACACCCGUAAUCCCAGCACUUUGGGAGGCCGAGGUGGGCAGAUCACGAGGUCAAGAGUUCGACACCAGCCUGACCAACAUGAUGAAACCCUGUCUCUACUAAAAAUACAAAACUCGGCUGGGCAUGGUGGCACAUGCCUGUAAUCCCAGCUCUUCAGGAGGCUGAGGCAGGAGAAUCACUUGAACCCAGGAGGGGGAGGUUGCAGUGAGCCGAGACUGCGCCACUGCACUCCAGCCUAGGCGACAGGGCAAGACUCUGUCUCAAAUUAAAAAAAAAGAAAGAAAGAAAGAAAAAAAAUUAGUAAUUGUAAGUACCCCUGUUAAGCAAAUUAGUAAAUGUAAGUACCCGUGUUAAGCAAUUCCUUUUUGCAGUAGAUUUCUGAAAUGAUAGGAUGCUGUUUUAAAAACAAAGAAAAUCCUGCUCCUGACUCAGUCAAAAUAUUUUUUAAAGUCCAUUGUUUGUUGUGCUUGCUGGUUCUAAGAGGCUAUUUAAAAAUAUAAAACCACUUUGUAUCCAUGAGAGUUUCAUUGUGUGUUAGCAGCAGUGAGCUUCUGUUAAAUGUAUAUGCCCUUUAUUCUGUUUAAGUGGCUUUCAGCAAACCUCAAUCGUGUUUUUAUGCAGGGUAUUGCAAAACAACUUGUGUUCUAUUAAUCAUGUCUUCAGUUAAAAGACCACAGACGUCUGGAAA